RNAcentral lists this ribosomal RNA (483 nucleotides) under Scincella reevesii. Its description in RNAcentral is "partial 16S ribosomal RNA". It matches the Rfam family "Bacterial large subunit ribosomal RNA", at positions 1844 to 2575 of the family's 2925-position model. The record is from RNAcentral. Lineage: Eukaryota; Metazoa; Chordata; Lepidosauria; Squamata; Scincidae.
UAUUAAAGGUCUUGCCUGCCCAGUGAAACAUUUUUUAACGGCCGCGGUAUUCUAACCGUGCAAAGGUAGCGUAAUCACUUGUCUUCUAAAUAAAGACCAGUAUGAACGGCUAAAUGAGGAUAAUCCUGUCUCCUACAACCAAUCAGUGAAUCUGAUCUUCCCGUCCAAAAGCUGGAAUUUUAACACAAGACGAGAAGACCCCGUGGAGCUUAAGACUAUCACUAAUACACUACCCCAGAAAACUAACAAAAGUCUUAAGUUGGGGCGACUUCGGAACAAAACAAAACUCCCGAGCAAUGAACCACCCUUCUAACUAAGGCUAACAAGCCAAAGCACAAAAUGACCCAGUCAUACUGAUUAACGAACCAAGUUACCCCGGGGAUAACAGCGCCAUCUUCUUCAAGAGUCCCUAUCGACAAGAAGGUUUACGACCUCGAUGUUGGAUCAGGACACCCAAAUGGUGAAGCCGCUAUUAAAGGUUCG